AUAUGCUUGUCUCAAAGAUUAAGCCAUGCAUGUCUCAGUGCAUGCCGAAUUAAGGUGAAACCGCGAAUGGCUCAUUAAAUCAGUUAUGGUUCCUUAGAUCGUACCCACAUUUACUUGGAUAACUGUGGUAAUUCUAGAGCUAAUACAUGCAAACCAGAGUUCCGACCAGAGAUGGAAGGAACGCUUUUAUUAGAUCAAAACCAAUCGGUGGCGGGUUCGCUCGUCCAUCGUUUACCUUGGUGACUCUGAAUAACUUUGUGCUGAUCGCACGGUCUCGCACCGGCGACGCAUCUUUCAAAUGUCUGCCUUAUCAACUGUCGAUGGUAGGUUCUGCGCCUACCAUGGUUGUAACGGGUAACGGGGAAUCAGGGUUCGAUUCCGGAGAGGGAGCCUGAGAAACGGCUACCACAUCCAAGGAAGGCAGCAGGCGCGCAAAUUACCCACUCCCGGCACGGGGAGGUAGUGACGAAAAAUUCAUCGCUCGCGAUGUUUAACUGACAUGAUUGUGGGACGUCCUACCGGUGGACUUAGCCUUUCGGGGCGGUCCAACUUGAAUCCCAUCGCGGUGCUCUUAAUCGAGUGUCGAGGUGGGCCGGUACGUUUACUUUGAACAAAUUAGAGUGCUCAAAGCAGGCUAUGUUCGCCUGAAUACUGUGUGCAUGGAAUAAUGGAAUAGGACCUCGGUUCUAU
RNAcentral lists this ribosomal RNA (690 nucleotides) under Aiolomorphus rhopaloides. Its description in RNAcentral is "bacterial SSU rRNA". It matches the Rfam family "Eukaryotic small subunit ribosomal RNA", at positions 26 to 839 of the family's 1831-position model. The record is from RNAcentral. Lineage: Eukaryota; Metazoa; Arthropoda; Insecta; Hymenoptera; Eurytomidae.